CCGUAGCCCAACGAGAUAGGGAGUAACAACCUGGAAACAAGAUGCUAAUACCGGAUAACAACAGAUGAUGCCUAUCAACUGUUUAAAAGAUGGUUCUGCUAUCACUCUUGGAUGGACCUGCGGUGCAUUAGCUAGUUGGUAGGGUAACGGCCUACCAAGGCGAUGAUGCAUAGCCGAGUUGAGAGACUGAUCGGCCACAUUGGGACUGAGACACGGCCCAAACUCCUACGGGAGGCAGCAGCC
Molecule: ribosomal RNA, 243 nt
Filed under: uncultured Lactobacillus sp.
Lineage: Bacteria; Bacillati; Bacillota; Bacilli; Lactobacillales; Lactobacillaceae
Description: partial 16S ribosomal RNA
Rfam family: Bacterial small subunit ribosomal RNA
Source: RNAcentral